This 450-nucleotide ribosomal RNA is filed under the name uncultured bacterium. Its description in RNAcentral is "partial 16S ribosomal RNA". It matches the Rfam family "Bacterial small subunit ribosomal RNA", at positions 354 to 796 of the family's 1533-position model. The record is from RNAcentral.
GUGGGGAAUUUUGGACAAUGGGCGAAAGCCUGAUCCAGCCAUGCCGCGUGCAGGAUGAAGGCCUUCGGGUUGUAAACUGCUUUUGUACGGAACGAAAAGACUCCUUCUAAUAAAGGGGGUCCAUGACGGUACCGUAAGAAUAAGCACCGGCUAACUACGUGCCAGCAGCCGCGGUAAUACGUAGGGUGCAAGCGUUAAUCGGAAUUACUGGGCGUAAAGCGUGCGCAGGCGGUUAUAUAAGACAGAUGUGAAAUCCCCGGGCUCAACCUGGGAACUGCAUUUGUGACUGUAGAGCUAGAGUACGGUAGAGGGGGAUGGAAUUCCGCGUGUAGCAGUGAAAUGCGUAGAUAUGCGGAGGAACACCGAUGGCGAAGGCAAUCCCCUGGACCUGUACUGACGCUCAUGCACGAAAGCGUGGGGAGCAAACAGGAUUAGAAACCCGAGUAGUCC